Dreissena polymorpha is the source of this 461-nucleotide long non-coding RNA. RefSeq lists it as uncharacterized. The record is from RefSeq and is a predicted model, not a curated record. The transcript is spliced from 3 exons. Lineage: Eukaryota; Metazoa; Mollusca; Bivalvia; Myida; Dreissenidae.
GGUCAAAGUCUCGUUCCCAGCCACAAAUAUGAUUAAGAAAGGAUUUAAAAUUAGCCACCUUUGUUCUUACAUUUGAGUGGGUUUGACAAACAUCUUGCCCAUUCUGCAUCCUGGUCGGCACAAGCUGUGGUCAAUGUCCCUUUGGUUCCCCUCUACGGGAUUACUACUGCGGACGCGGCGGGAGGAGGUGCCCUUCCUCUUUCUACUGAGAGAUCUCCCCAACGGACUCAUAUGCCGUCUGCUGUCCCAUCCAACGACCCCCCACUUAUGGAAAAUAACGACACGCUCGUCUACUGCGGGGAAGAUGCAGUCUCGUGCCUCUCUUCGUACGUGCUGUAGCGCCGAGUGAUGCAACAUACAAUGUAUUAUGUAUUGACAAAAACCUUUGCAUGGUACAAAUAUUGUUGAAAAAAUACCAACUUUCUUUAUUUUGUCCAUUAUUUCAAUGCACCUGAACACAC